RNAcentral lists this ribosomal RNA (253 nucleotides) under uncultured bacterium. RNAcentral describes it as "partial 16S ribosomal RNA". It matches the Rfam family "Bacterial small subunit ribosomal RNA", at positions 524 to 776 of the family's 1533-position model. The record is from RNAcentral.
GACGAACCGUCCAAACGUUAUUCGGAAUCACUGGGCUUAAAGGGUGCGUAGGCGGCCUGGCAAGUUGGGUGUGAAAUCCCUCGGCUCAACCGAGGAAUUGCGCUCAAAACUGCCAAGCUAGAGGGAGACAGAGGCGAGCGGAACUCAGGGUGGAGCGGUGAAAUGCGUUGAUAUCCUGGGGAACACCAGUAGCGAAAGCGGCUCGCUGGGUCUUUUCUGACGCUGAGGCACGAAAGCUAGGGGAGCGAACGGG